UAAAGUAGGUGAGGCAGUUGCGGACUCAAUAUCUUGGGUCUGAGGAAAGUCCGGGCUCCCAAAAGACCAAGCUUGCUGGAUAACGCCCAGUGCGAGCGAUCGUGAGGAUAGUGCCACAGAAAAAUACCGCCCUGGAGAUGAGAUAUUAUUCAAGUCUCUGAGGUAAGGGUGCAAAGGUGUGGUAAGAGCGCACCAGCAGUAUCGUGAGGUACUGGCUAGGUAAACCCCGGCGGGGAGCAAGGUCGGAGGGGCAAUGGUUGGUCUUUUUCCAGCUCCGUUGUUAAGUGUACCGCUAGAGGUGUCUGGUAACAGGCGUCCCAGAUAGAUAAUUGCCCUCUUAGCUACUUUCAGUUAAGGGAACAGAACCCGGCUUACUUCCUACUUUUUCCU
This 390-nucleotide RNase P RNA is filed under the name Okeania hirsuta. RNAcentral's name for it is "RNase P RNA component class A". It matches the Rfam family "Bacterial RNase P class A". Rfam says of the family: Ribonuclease P (RNase P) is a ubiquitous endoribonuclease, found in archaea, bacteria and eukarya as well as chloroplasts and mitochondria. Its best characterised activity is the generation of mature 5'-ends of tRNAs by cleaving the 5'-leader elements of precursor-tRNAs. Cellular RNase Ps are ribonucleoproteins. RNAcentral also lists the same sequence under 1 other name. Lineage: Bacteria; Bacillati; Cyanobacteriota; Cyanophyceae; Oscillatoriales; Microcoleaceae. The record is from RNAcentral.